AAGCCUUGGCUAACUUCGUGCCAGCAGUCGCGGUAAUACGGGGAAGGCAAGUGUUAUUCGUCGUUAUUGGGCGUAAAGGGUACGUAGAUUGUGUAAAUAACAUUUAAUUAAAGCCAAGAACUGUUCUUCUUGAGAAAUUAUUUGUAAAAUUUAUACUUAUUAAAAGAAAUUAAAGAGUAUUGCAUAGAUUAAUGGUAUUUUUAAAGAAGAAAUGAAAUUCGAUGAUAAUAAAAGGACCACCUGUUGGCGAAAGCAAUUAAUUAGUGUUAUACUAACAUUGAGGUACAAAAGCAUGGGGAGCAAACAGGAUUAGAGACCCUGGUAGUCCAUGCUAUGACCGCUGAAUGUUCAAUAUCGAGUUUUUUUUUAAAUUCGGUGUUUUAGCUAACGCGUUAAACAUUCCGCCUGGGGACUACGAUCGCAAGAUU
RNAcentral lists this ribosomal RNA (428 nucleotides) under uncultured bacterium. RNAcentral's name for it is "bacterial SSU rRNA". It matches the Rfam family "Bacterial small subunit ribosomal RNA", at positions 488 to 895 of the family's 1533-position model. The record is from RNAcentral.